CAAAAAUCUAAGCAGUUCAUCUUAUGCCCAUACCAUGAAAAGAAUCAUUGGGUUCUUUUGGUCUUAUGCAUGGCUAAGCGUGAAGUCAUCAUCUUUGAUUGUUUGAGGCAGAAGCGAAAUUUAGCAAUUAAGUUUGCAAUGACAAAUGCUUUUCGAAGUUUCAAGGCAUUAAGUGGACAAUCUAGGGGAAGUAAAUUAACAUGGCAUUUGGGACAGGUUACCUUAAUUUCUUACCCUAACUUUUAGUUUCUUAAUAAUUUAAGUAUAGCAAUUUAAUUCAACUU
This is a long non-coding RNA of Chenopodium quinoa (quinoa), 284 nucleotides long. RefSeq lists it as uncharacterized. The record is from RefSeq and is a predicted model, not a curated record. The transcript is spliced from 3 exons. Lineage: Eukaryota; Viridiplantae; Streptophyta; Magnoliopsida; Caryophyllales; Amaranthaceae.